This is a long non-coding RNA of Cyprinus carpio carpio, 2232 nucleotides long. Lineage: Eukaryota; Metazoa; Chordata; Actinopteri; Cypriniformes; Cyprinidae. The record is from Ensembl.
GGAAAAGAUUGUUAUCUGAAGUAGUAUAUCUAAUAUAUAAAAAAACUGUAACAGAGGAUAAUGAUGUUCUCUGAUGGUAACACCAUACUGACAUAGCAUAAAAAAAUAUUUGCAUGGUACUCUGAGGUACUUUACAGAAUACCAAAAUAUUACCAUGGUACAUGUCAGGAAAAACAUGGCUGUUUUGUAAUAAGUGUAGCAGUGCAUGCAUUUUGAAUCACAGUCAUGUGGGCUGAUCAGGUUUCACAGUUUAGCAUGCAACCCUUUAUUUAUGCAUUUAGUUUCCACCCAAGUAGUGCGAACAUGAUUAAAUCAUUUUCAGAAAUCAUUAGUCUUGUGUAAUCAUGUGAAAAUUUUAAAAUGCCUUUAAAGGAUGUUUUAUGAAAAUCCAUUUCCUAUGAUGUCCUCCAUUUGGCUUUUCUCUCUAUCAGAUGUUUCUUAUAUCUCUAAAUUAAGUAAUUUGCUUUAAAAUAUGUGGGGGAGGAAGUGUAAAGGGUUGAUGCCACAUUAAACAAGGACGGGUCGACCAGACUGCAUCAAAUUCUUUCAAAAUAAAGUGCAGUCUGGCGUGACGUGGAAUCCAUAAGCCUCACAAACUCUCCAGUAAUUCUCCAGUCUUAAUGUUCCUCACUCUUCUGGAAUAUCCAUGCCAGCAGGACAGUCGUGGAGUCCGCCGAGAAGAGCAGAUCGUAGAAUCUGAAGGAAACUCCCCACUGUUUACCCCUGACGAGCUCAGCCAGUCUUCAACAUCAUCCCUUCAUACCGUUCAUUAUAGCCUCAGCCCACUCCGCUUUCACAGAGACGCUCCAGCAUCCAGCAGUGUGUGUGUGUGUGUGUGUGUGUGUGUGUGUGUGUGUGCUGGAGGAAACUGGCAGUAAUCCUGUAAAAAGUUCCUCAACUAUGAGCCUUGCUGUAAUCGAGUGCGGUCGUUAGAUGAGGGGCUCAUAAAGGAGAACAUGAGCUUUACUCAUCGCUGUUUUUCCUGCCAGUCCCACCCUUUUGUCUGCUGGAUGCCAAGCAUUGCUGCUCUCUGCUACUCUGCGUUUCUCACUCUGAAGGUUAAAGGUAGAAAUUUAAACAAAGCCCUAACCUUAAGUAAUAAACUUUGGUGUGCAACUCAUCCUGCACCAUUUAUGCAACAGAUAUAUGAUACAAUAUCUAUACGCUUGUUGACGAAAAGUGUGCUAUUAGGUUCUAAGUGAUGAAAUGUACAAUUUGUGUCUGGCAUAUGAUAAAACUUGUGAAGAAAUCCAAUUGAAUUAUGUUGAAGAAGAGACCCAAGCCAUAUCUUGAGACCAGCACUUGGACCAGUAAGCAACCAUCAAUUAUUGCCUUAUAAACCACUCAGAACUUCAUAACACCCUGGGAACCAACCAAAACACCUUAAAACCUUCAGAAAGCUGAAAAUCUAGUUGGUUUUACUGUAGUACACUUGUAGUCCAGAGUAUGACGAAAAACUAGCAGGAGCCUGAAGCCUAAUCAUGUGUGUAAUGUGUAACCUGAGCACUUUUGCCUUCACAAACUCGUCUUAUCUGUGCUUUUAUGUAGUCAUUGUGCCGAUCUUAAUCCUGCGCACAAAGAGUAAUAAGAGCUCUGGACAUAGAGUAACAUCAUAUCCUGUUGUGUUAGAAGAAUACACUGACAGAGGAUUUGUUACACGCUCUGCCUCAGAGCUCAGUUCAUCACCUGAAUACAGUGCAGUGGAUCACAAAAGAGUCAGUGUAUGGGGAUUUCACAAAUAUCACAAAGCUUGCUUGCCCGUGCACAGGGCGUCCAUGAGGGUGUUGCCAUAGGAUGGUUGCCAAGGUGUUGCUAUGCAGUUGCUAGAAUGUUCUGGGUGGAUUCUAGUUGCUUGCUUACUGGCCGAGUGAAAAAAAAGAAACAUAAAAACACACCCAAGUGUCUAUGAUAUUCUUUUUUAUAUGGCUAGAUAUGGGGAUUUUUUUUAACCCAUUUUAUCAUCUUAAAAAAUCAGACAGGUUAGAAAAGUAAUAAUGCACCUUUCCUCAAUAAGCCGUAAAAUGUGACGUGUCAUUCUAAUAUGAGUUUUUAGCAUUAAAUAUCACCACAUUUCAAAAGUGGGUCAAUAAAUGGGACAAAAAGUUUAAAAUGCAUGUGCCAGUAUGUUUAUUUUCAAGUAGGUUUUGUAUGGUUUUAAAAACAAAAACCUCUGUGUAAUUUUCUGCAGCAAAAAAUAAAAUAAAUAAAUAUAUAAAAUAAAAAUAAAUAAAU